UACGGAGGGGGCUAGCGUUGUUCGGAAUUACUGGGCGUAAAGCGUACGUAGGCGGAUCUGCAAGUUGGGGGUGAAAUCCCGGGGCUUAACCCCGGAAUUGCCCUCAAAACUGUGGAUCUUGAGACCGAGAGAGGUAAGGGGAAUUCCGAGUGUAGAGGUGAAAUUCGUAGAUAUUCGGAAGAACACCAGUGGCGAAGGCGCCUUACUGGCUCGGACCUGACGCUGAGGUACGAAAGCGUGGGGAGCAAACAGG
RNAcentral lists this ribosomal RNA (253 nucleotides) under uncultured bacterium. RNAcentral describes it as "partial 16S ribosomal RNA". It matches the Rfam family "Bacterial small subunit ribosomal RNA", at positions 524 to 776 of the family's 1533-position model. The record is from RNAcentral.